AGGUCUAUUCUGCCCACUGAUUUUUUGAAGGGCUGCGGUAAUUUGACUGUACAAAGGUAGCAUAAUCAAUAGUUUUUUAAUUGAAAACUGGUAUGAAUGAGUGAAUAGAAGAUUAGCUUUCUUUUUUUUAAUAUUAAAAUUUUAUUUUUUAGUAAGAAGGCUGAAAUUUGUUUAAAAGACGAGAAGACCCUAUAGAUUUUUAUUUAAUUAUUUUUUCUGGAAUUUGAUUUAUUUUAGUAUACAUAGAAAAUUUAAUUAAAUUUGGUUGGGGUGAUUAAGAAAGAUAAAUAUUUUUUUUUUAUUUAAAUUAAUUUAUUUAAUUUUGUGAUCCUGAAAUUUGGGUUAUAAGAUCAAAUUACCUUAGGGAUAACAGCGUAAUUUCUUUGGAAAGUUCAUAUUGAUAAAGAAGAUUGCGACCUCGAUGUUGAAUUAAGAUAAAAAGUGGGAGUAAAAAUUUACUUUUUUUAGUCUGUUCGACUAUUAAAUUCU
This 489-nucleotide ribosomal RNA is filed under the name Sensitibilla etosha. RNAcentral's name for it is "partial 16s rRNA". The record is from RNAcentral. Lineage: Eukaryota; Metazoa; Arthropoda; Insecta; Psocodea; Prionoglarididae.